CAAUUACCGGGGAUGUUGCUUAGGAGAUAUAUAUUCCAUGGUGUCUGGCUCCUGUGUAGACCACUUUCUCCUGCAAACAACAUGGAUGACCAAACACAUUACUCUAAUGGCUGCUGAGGAAGCAUCUACUAAAGACGGUAAACAUGUCCAGAUUUAGUUUUCAUGAAUGUAGGUUUUCUUUCCCCCUCCAUGUUAUUUUUAUCUUGAAUUGAAAAAGAUUUUAACUUUUCAAACAUCGUGACCACUUCAGUGAUUAGAGGACAAAAGGGCUAGGGCAUAAUACUGUGCAUGUAUUUGGAGGUUGCUUGUGGGAUUGCGUGUGUGUAGGGCAGGGCCGCCAUCAGGGGGUGACGUGGAGCGGCGGAACUGCCGCUGGUGCAUCUGCACUGGGCCCCACACGCUGAUGGGGCCAAUCAGGUGACCCAAUGGGUCGUAUUAUCUUCAGGGGCCCAGUCAGCGCUGUAAUAGCACGACCUGGCCCCUUUAAAAAAAAAAAUGCAGUCGCAACGCAAGUGCUGCUGGGAGGAAGUGACAGCCGGCCACUUCCUCCCAGCUUACUCCGCGCUUGAAGGAGGACGCAGCCUGAAGGCCAAGAGGAGAGGCAGCCGACGCCCAUCAUCCCCAGCCACCCUCCUGCAAUGCAAAGGUAAGGAAGACGAGGGUGGCUGAAAAAUGAAUUGUAUGUUUGUAUGCAUGUAUGUGUAUGUAUGUAUGUAUGUAUGCCAGUAUGUGUCUGUCAGUAUGUAUGUAUAUAUCAGUAUUUAUGUAUGUCUGUCAGUAUGUAUGUCUGCAUGUAUAUGUUUGUGUGUGUCUGUCAGUAUGUGUGUAUGUCAGUGUGUGUGUGUGUGUGUAUCUCCUUAUGCAUGUGUGUGUGUGUAUCUGUAUCUCCUUAUGCAUGUGUGUUUGUAUCUGUAUCUCCUUAUGCAUGUGUGUGUGUCUCAGUAUGUGUGUGUCAGUAUGCCUGUAUGUGUGUAUGUCUGUUUCAGUAUUUGUAUCUGUUAGUAUGUGUGUAUCUUUCUGUUUUGUGUCUGUGUGUGUAUUCCUGUGGGCGGGAUUUUGAGGCGGGCCCCCGGGAGCCCAGACUUUGAGCUGUGUUAGGGCCCCCAAAAUUUUUGAUGGCGGCCCGGGUGUAGGGUGAGUUGUUUGUGGUGUGGUGUUUUGUGUAAAUAGGUCGGUUUGUGUUGUGUUGUGUUUGUUAUGUAGUACGUGUGGUUAGGGGCUGUAGAGAGUGUGUGUGUAGUUAUGUAGUGUGUAUAGUGGCAUAAUGUGUGUAUAAGGGAUUUAGUGAGUAUGUGUAUAGGGGCUAUAUUGUGUAUAGUGGUAUGGAGAUAACCCUCAGUCUGCACCUGGUAUAUCCUGCUGUAAGGUGCAGUGUGCCGGGUUCAUGAGAGGACCCUCAGCCCCCACGGGACCCAGGGAACGGGGGACACUACUAAAGCGGGCUAUUGUGAUUAUGAUGUUUAGAGUAACCCUUUCAUUUACAAAUCAGUUCCAAGUUUAUUUGUUAAAACUGGGGACAAUUAAUAAGGGAAAGGGGUUUUGUUCCUUGUUUGGUUCUUAGCAAGUGGAGACACAGGUUACAACAGACCUGAGCGAACAUCACUUCUUUACUUGGGAGAAAUAUGCCUGCUGUCUCCUUUAUCAUAACAACCAUACUGUGUGACUUCCAGCACUGAUGUAACUGUUUUACUCUGGAACAGAGAGCGAGCGUAAAUAACAUCUGGCCACAUGGACAGCGUCUGUCACUUGGUUAAGCACACAUACAUCCACUAGUGGGAGUGUCAGAACUGCCGGAGUUUAUUUAACACUACAGGACCAGAUACAGAUUAGAGGCUUAACAGAGUAUCAAAAGACAGAACAUCCGAGACAUCCACAGCAGAGCAGAUCCAAAGGAAGAGGACUAUAAAGACAUUUUAUUGCUUCGUCUAGAUAUAAAUAUAGAAUACCAGUUUGGGCUGCACUUAUAACAAGAAUACUUUGUAAUCCUUCUUAGUUUUUGCAGAACGGACAUCAUCUGCGGCUGUCCUGGUCAAAGUGACCAUGAAUUCUUCAAGAAGGUAAGAAGCAGGAGCACUAUCCUGUCCGAAAAAUACCGAAUUCUCUUUCUGUGAUACAUUU
This is a non-coding RNA of Pelobates cultripes (western spadefoot toad), 2118 nucleotides long. NCBI's taxonomy places the organism in Eukaryota, Metazoa, Chordata, Amphibia, Anura, Pelobatidae. The record is from the annotation of a GenBank genome assembly.